Molecule: ribosomal RNA, 315 nt
Filed under: Triticum aestivum (bread wheat)
Lineage: Eukaryota; Viridiplantae; Streptophyta; Magnoliopsida; Poales; Poaceae
Description: partial small subunit ribosomal RNA
Source: RNAcentral
AUGUACGUGUACAUGCUACGUGCGCGCCUAUACUACAACACAUGUGCGCCUCUACUACGACACGUGCGCGCCUCUACAACGACAAGUAUGUACGUACACGUUCGCGACCAGAAUGACAACCCUACGUACGCUUCGACUAGGUGGGUCCCGAUUGUCAGGCACUUCCUUGCCGGCGAAGAUGUAGCUGGUGGGUCCCAGCAGUCAGGGGGGCGAAUCGUUUUUUUUGCCCGGACGUACUUCCUUGCGUGCGAAGAUGUAGCUUUCUGGUGGGUCCCAGCAGUCAGGGGGAAACGAUUUUUUUGCGAAAUACGGUAG